CAGCCGCCGCGGGAAUACGAAGGGUGCAAGCGUUACUCGGAAUUACUGGGCGUAAAGCGUGCGUAGGUGGUGGUUUAAGUCCGUUGUGAAAGCCCUGGGCUCAACCUGGGAAUUGCAGUGGAUACUGGGUCACUAGAGUGUGGUAGAGGAUAGUGGAAUUUCCGGUGUAGCAGUGAAAUGCGCAGAGAUCGGAAGGAACAUCUGUGGCGAAGGCGACUAUCUGGGCCAACACUGACACUGAGGCACGAAAGCGUGGGGAGCGAACAGGAUUAGAUACCCCAGUAGUCCCUGUCUCUUAUAC
RNAcentral lists this ribosomal RNA (301 nucleotides) under uncultured bacterium. RNAcentral's name for it is "partial 16S ribosomal RNA". It matches the Rfam family "Bacterial small subunit ribosomal RNA", at positions 509 to 807 of the family's 1533-position model. The record is from RNAcentral.